GGCAACGGGUUAUAGGAAAAAGAAAUCUUAGGGCUAUUGUAUUAAUUGCUUCGAAUGGAGAAUUCUCAUGGGUUUAAGAAGUGGAAUCAGAAUCGAACUAAUUAAGGAAUGGAAGAGGGAGUCAGAGAUGAGGCGGAGCAACGCCGCCCUUAGGACGGCGGCGACGCCUGAAUUUAGAGGGAGAGAGAGGCGGGCAGUUUAAGGGGGGGAAUUAGGGCUCAAUUUGAGUGUGCAAUCGACUUUAGAGAGAGAAAAGGAUUGAGAGAAGAGAGAGACAGUGAAGGGGGAGAC
RNAcentral lists this long non-coding RNA (291 nucleotides) under Salvia miltiorrhiza (redroot sage). RNAcentral's name for it is "long non-coding RNA (SMIL_LNC010954)". The record is from RNAcentral. Lineage: Eukaryota; Viridiplantae; Streptophyta; Magnoliopsida; Lamiales; Lamiaceae.